This 354-nucleotide long non-coding RNA is filed under the name Nicotiana benthamiana. RNAcentral's name for it is "long non-coding RNA (NBEN_LNC002157)". Lineage: Eukaryota; Viridiplantae; Streptophyta; Magnoliopsida; Solanales; Solanaceae. The record is from RNAcentral.
AUUCUUCUCUGCUAUCUUUAUGAAGCUAUGGAUAGAGAGAAAGAGAGUACCACCAGUAUAGAAGACAUAACGAGAAUGACAAGGUCAGUUAUUAGCAGUAUAGAAGACAUAACGAGAAUGACAAGGUCAGUUAUUAGCAGUAUAGAAGACAUAACGUGAAUGACAAGGUCAGUUAUUAGCAGUAUAGAAGACAUAACGUGAAUGCCAUUAUCGACUCCAGGGCCCAUGCCAGCACCACAUUGCACUCCCUCAUGGAACACAGAAAGAAGCUUCUCAUCCUACAGACAGUUGUUAUUGAUAUUCAAAAAUUUAGAAAAUGAUAAUACCUUAAGAUAACUAAAUACCACUGAAAAU